Molecule: ribosomal RNA, 468 nt
Filed under: uncultured bacterium
Lineage: Bacteria
Description: partial 16S ribosomal RNA
Rfam family: Bacterial small subunit ribosomal RNA
Source: RNAcentral
GACGAACGCUGGCGGCGUGCUUAACACAUGCAAGUCGAACGGUGAAGCUCCACUUUGCUGGUGCGGAUCAGUGGCGAACGGGUGAGUAACAUGUGAGCAACCUGCCUUUUAUUCUGGUAUAACUGCUGGACUCGGCGUCUUACACUGGAUACGCGUAGUGUCCGCGUGGGCGCUUUCUGGUUAGUUUUUCGGUUGGGGAUGGGCUCGCCGUCUAUCAGCUUGGUGGUGAGGUUAUCGCACACCAAGGCGACGACGGGUAGCCGGCCUGAGAGGGCGACCGGCCACACUGGGACUGAGACACGGCCCAGACUCCUACGGGAGGCAGCAGUGGGGAAUAUUGCACAGUGGGCGAAAGCCUGAUGCAGCGACGCCGCGUGAGGGAUGACGGCCUUCGGGUUGUAAACCUCUUUCAGCGGGGAAGAAGCGAAAGUGACGGUACCUGCAGAAGAAGCACCGGCUAACUACGUG